UACGAAGGGGGCUAGCGUUGCUCGGAAUCACUGGGCGUAAAGGGCGCGUAGGCGGCGUUUUAAGUCGGGGGUGAAAGCCUGUGGCUCAACCACAGAAUGGCCUUCGAUACUGGGACGCUUGAGUAUGGUAGAGGUUGGUGGAACUGCGAGUGUAGAGGUGAAAUUCGUAGAUAUUCGCAAGAACACCGGUGGCGAAGGCGGCUCACUGGCCCGAUACUGACGCUGAGGCACGAAAGCGUGGGGAGCAAACAGG
Molecule: ribosomal RNA, 253 nt
Filed under: uncultured bacterium
Lineage: Bacteria
Description: partial 16S ribosomal RNA
Rfam family: Bacterial small subunit ribosomal RNA
Source: RNAcentral